ACACGUGGGCCCACAAAUGAUUAAAAGUAUCAAAAGAAAUGAGCCCAUGGUUUUUGGAUGUGGCAAGUCCAACUGUAGUCCUCGACGAUAUCAAUUAUCUACAAUCUAUUCUGAGCCUAAAAUGGGUGGAAAAGAGGGUGGUGAGAUUAUAUAAUCCCAGUGAGUAAACAAAUACCAUAUAAUAUCUAAAGCUGAGUAAAUGGAGACAGAUAAAAUAGUUUAACAUACUGUAAUUCAUCACCUUUCAACAAGUUUCAACCAAAUAAAAUCAAUUCAUAUAAAUCGAGUAAUUAACAUGGCUUAUGAAUUUCUUAAAAGAUUUGGCUCGUGCCAAAAUCGUUCUCAUACUCAGUUAUCAAGGAUACCUUGGCUGUGGGCUAUCCUAAACCGAGUUUGCCAAUGCUAUUAAAAAGUUAUGUACUCAUAAAUCAUGUUUUUAUUUUAAAAAUAUAGCCGUUCCUUGGCAUUGGCUAAGUUCGCCCUCAUGUGGUGGUUUGGCGCGAAGUGAACUCUAAAAGUUAUACCUCGGGAGUUACCCUACUUGCCUCUCCAACCGAGGUAAAAUAUAUCAGGAUUUCGUGCCCCUCUAAUAGGCUAGUCCACAAAACCCUGCCCACUGUAGCAAGCUUAACCCACCAUACAAUAAAAUUUGAUAUAACAUGAUUGAAUAACUAAUUUUAUUUUAUUUUAUUUUAUUUUACAGCCUCUCAAGGCAAAUCAACAGUUCAUACAUUUUCAGCACAUUUAUCAAGUCAACCAUUCAUGCCAACAUUGCCAUAAGCUAAUCAAUUAAAACCAUAAAUUUAUAACACAUCAAGUGGUCUCCAAUUACUCUAUUUUCAAAGCCAUAAUUUAAUUUCAAGACAAUUUAUAAAAUCAUUUCAUUUAAACACAUUUUAUUUAUAAACAUAAAGAUUUACCAUUUAAACUUAUUUUUCAAAAAUCACAAAAUCGGAUAAAAACCACUUUAGAUAAUUAAGACGAUAGUAAGGUUACUCAUUGUUUCGGGAGUCGAAUUUUGAGCACUCCGAUUCCUUAUCCUCGAGUACUAUUUCUUUACUUUUGCCAGAAUGCUCACCACCUAGACCUAAUGCAUAAUAAGCCAUUUACUACAUUUGUGCUAAAUUGUUAUAAAACCAAUUCAGGCUCUAUACUAAUGCAUGAAAUGGGAUGUGAAAUACUCGGGUAACUAUCUAAAUACGGUGUUCAAUAUAAAUUCACUUGUGUACCUAAAUAAAUUGGUAUUGGCCUAAUUCGAUCUAUCACUCGAUUAAUUGGCCAAUACGUCCAAUUUAACUCCAAUUAACUCCAUUUUUCUUCCAAUUCUUAAUACACCAAACACAAGUCAAAUAACCUAAAAUUUGGAAAAUCCAUCUUCACUUUUCUUCUUAGAAUUUUUGGUCAAUAAUGGUGCAUCAACACCGUGAUUUUUCCUACUACUUCUCGACACCAUAAUUCAUCAUUUUCUAACCAAUUCUCUUAAAAUAAAAAUCAAAUUCAUCCUCACUCAAUACAAGGUAGGUUCGCCCAUUGAUGGAUGAUGGGGAAAAUGAAUUAUUUUCUUGUUGUUUUCCUUUUAGACAUGGUAAACUAACUAAAAACACUAACAUAACUUGAAAUGAAAUCAAUCCAACAUCAUUCUCUCUCCAUACCCAUUCAGCUAACCAUGAUUGCACCAUGAAAACAUGUAAUUUAACCAUGGAAAAUAAGGAGAAAUGCUUAAGGAAGAUAGAUUUCAAGUUUAAAUUGAGAAAUCCUACCUUUUUCACUUGUUUUUCUUGAUUUUUCCACACUUUUCUCUUGAAAUUCUCCACCUAGGGUUUAGUUCUUCCUUUUCCUUCCUUUGUUCUUC
Molecule: long non-coding RNA, 1852 nt
Filed under: Theobroma cacao (cacao)
Lineage: Eukaryota; Viridiplantae; Streptophyta; Magnoliopsida; Malvales; Malvaceae
Description: long non-coding RNA (TCAC_LNC003145)
Source: RNAcentral